RNAcentral lists this ribosomal RNA (252 nucleotides) under uncultured bacterium. Its description in RNAcentral is "partial 16S ribosomal RNA". It matches the Rfam family "Bacterial small subunit ribosomal RNA", at positions 524 to 776 of the family's 1533-position model. The record is from RNAcentral.
UACGGAGGAUGCGAGCGUUAUCCGGAUUUAUUGGGUUUAAAGGGUGCGUAGGCGGGCUUUUAAGUCAGCGGUAGAAAUUCGGGGCUCAACCCCGUCCGGCCGUUGAAACUGGGGGCCUUGAGUGGGCGAGAAGAAGGCGGAAUGCGCGGUGUAGCGGUGAAAUGCAUAGAUAUCACGCAGAACCCCGAUUGCGAAGGCAGCCUUCCGGCGCCCUACUGACGCUGAGGCACGAAAGUGCGGGGAUCGAACAGG